ACACGAGAAGGGAGGUGGUUCGGCAGAUGUGUGAAUACCGGACGCGUGAGGUGGCUGCGGGCUAGCGGCCCGUCCCCACACCAUGUGCGGUGCCGGACCAGCACGCGACAGAUGCGUGCAGCCGGCCAAUCCCAAGCAGUCACCCGACCCGCGGGCUGCCGGUACGUCCGGCCGGCUCCUCCUUGAGGAACCCAGCCCGCGGGUCGUCUGCG
Molecule: small RNA, 212 nt
Filed under: Streptomyces sp. NRRL B-3648
Lineage: Bacteria; Bacillati; Actinomycetota; Actinomycetes; Kitasatosporales; Streptomycetaceae
Description: Actinobacteria sRNA Ms_IGR-5
Rfam family: Actinobacteria sRNA Ms_IGR-5
Source: Rfam by way of RNAcentral